GGGCAGGUAGAAGGUGGUCGGGCUUGACAUUAUAAAUGUCAAGUCAGGAAAGUCCGGGCUCCGGAGGAUAGCGUAAUGGGUAACGCCCAUCUCCGUCAUAAAACUUGACGGAAGGAUUUCUGCCAUAAACCUUGGCGGACCCGUGAAUAUUUUUGGCGGGAGAGCCACAGAGACGAGCGCCCCACUGUUUUUGUCUUGCUUCGCAAGGCAAAAACAAAGCGUAAACGGGGCAGGUGAAACGAGGUAAUCUCUACGCGGAGCAAGGUAAAAUAGCCCCGCCCUUCCUACCACAUAGGUAGGAAUAAAAAUGGUCCGUUUGAAAUCCUCAAAAUUUUUUGAGGAAGGGCGGGAGGGUAAGCUGCUUGAGUCCUGACGGUAACGUCAGAAUCGAGAGAAAUGGCCACUGCAACCACUGAAACACUGAAGAAAAGGCGAGACACUGAAAAAGCAUUUCUCAGUGUUUCAGUAAACCCGAGGUUUUAAAGAUAUCAUUUCAGUGUCCUCAGUGGUUGCGACAGAACUCGGCUUAUUCUGCCUGCCCCUUU
Molecule: RNase P RNA, 545 nt
Filed under: Candidatus Omnitrophica bacterium CG23_combo_of_CG06-09_8_20_14_all_40_11
Lineage: Bacteria; Pseudomonadati; Candidatus Omnitrophota
Description: RNase P RNA component class A
Rfam family: Bacterial RNase P class A
About the family: Ribonuclease P (RNase P) is a ubiquitous endoribonuclease, found in archaea, bacteria and eukarya as well as chloroplasts and mitochondria. Its best characterised activity is the generation of mature 5'-ends of tRNAs by cleaving the 5'-leader elements of precursor-tRNAs.
Source: RNAcentral